AGCUCAGCUGGGAGAGCGCGUGGUUCGCAAUCACGAGGUCAGGGGUUCGAUCCCCCUA
This 58-nucleotide transfer RNA is filed under the name Eubacteriales Family XIII. Incertae Sedis bacterium. Its description in RNAcentral is "tRNA-Ala". It matches the Rfam family "tRNA", at positions 9 to 63 of the family's 71-position model. From Rfam's summary of the family: Transfer RNA (tRNA) molecules are approximately 80 nucleotides in length. Their secondary structure includes four short double-helical elements and three loops (D, anti-codon, and T loops). Lineage: Bacteria; Bacillati; Bacillota; Clostridia; Peptostreptococcales; Anaerovoracaceae. The record is from RNAcentral.